UCGGACUUCGGUCUGGCGAGUAGAGUGGCGAACGGGUGAGUAACGCGUGGGCAAUCUGCCCUCGAGUGGGGAAUAACCAUUCCAACGAGUGGCUAAUUCCGCAUAGUCCCCUUCCUCCGCAUGAGGGAAAGGGUAAAGGUGGGGAUCUUCGGACCUGCCGCUCGAGGAGGAGCCCGCGUCCCAUUAGCUUGUUGGCGGGGUUACGGCCCACCAAGGCGACGAUGGGUAGCCGAUCUGAGAGGAUGACCGGCCACACUGGGACUGAGAUACGGCCCAGACUCCUACGGGAGGCAGCAGUCGAGAAGCUUCGGCAAUGGGGGAAACCCUGACCGAGCGACGCCGCGUACGGGAUGACAGCCCUCGGGUUGUAAACCGCUGUCAGAAGGGAAGAAUCCUUCCGGGUCAAUACCCUGGAAGUUGACGGUACCUUCAGAGGAAGCUCCGGCUAACCCCGUGCCAGCAGCCGCGGUAAUACGGGGGGAGCGAACGUUGUUCGGAUUUACUGGGCGUAAAGGGCGUGUAGGCGGCUUGGCAAGUCAGGGGUGA
Molecule: ribosomal RNA, 546 nt
Filed under: uncultured bacterium
Lineage: Bacteria
Description: bacterial SSU rRNA
Rfam family: Bacterial small subunit ribosomal RNA
Source: RNAcentral